This 1569-nucleotide small RNA is filed under the name Pan troglodytes (chimpanzee). RNAcentral describes it as "retained intron". Lineage: Eukaryota; Metazoa; Chordata; Mammalia; Primates; Hominidae. The record is from RNAcentral.
GUAAGAAGUGCUUUUCGCCUCCCGCCAUGAUUCUGAGGCCUCCCCGGCCAUGUGGAACUAUCAGUGCCCUACAGAAAGGCUACAGCCAGGUGCUGUGCCAGACCCUGUCAGAGCGGAACUCAGAAAUCACAUCCCUGAAGAAUGAGGGUGAGAACUUAAAGAGAGACAACGCUAUCACAUCAGGGAUGGUGUCAUCUUUGCAAAAAGACAUGUUAGCAAAGGAUGAGCAAGUUCAACAACUAAAGGAAGAGGUCAGUCACCUAAAAAGUCAGAACAAGGACAAGGACCACCAGCUGGAAGCCCUUGGCUCUAGAUGCUCGGUGCUAAAGGAAGAGUUAAAACAGGAAGAUGCUCACAGGGAGCUCAGGGAAGCCCAGGAGAAAGAGUUAAAAUUCUGCAGAACCCAAAUCCAAGACAUGGAGAAAGAAAUGAAGAAGCUUAGGGCGGAGCUGAGGAAGAGUUGUACUGAACAAAGCGUGAUCUCUAGGACUCUGAGAGAAAAAAGCAAGGUUGAAGAGAAGCUUCAGGAGGAUUCCAGAAGGAAAUUGCUUCAGCUGCAAGAAAUGGGGAACAGAGAGAGCCUCAUUAAAAUCAAUUUGGAGAGGGCAGUAGGUCAGCUGGAGCACUUCAGAAGUCAAGUCAUCAAGGCCACCUAUGGACGGGUGAAGCCGUUCCGGGACAAGCCCGUCACCGACCAACAGUUAAUAGAGAAAAUUACCCAGGUCACUGAGGACAACAUCAAUUUUCAGCAGAAAAAGUGGACCCUCCAGAAAGAGACCCAGCUGAGCAACUCCAAGCAGGAGGAGACCACCGAGAACAUCGAGAAGCUGAGGACGUCGCUGGACAGCUGCCAGGCUUGCAUGAAAAUAUCCUGUUGCAGCCAUGACCUGAAGAAGGAGGUCGACCUUCUUCAGCACCUCCAGGUGAGCCCACCUGUCUCGGGGCUCCAGAAGGUGGUGCUGGAUGUCCUGAGGCACGCGCUGUCCUGGCUGGAGGAGGUGGAGCAGCUCCUCCGGGACCUCGGGAUCCUGCCCUCCAGCCCCAACAAAGGUUACUGGGACUUUUUUUCUCACAUGGUUGCAUGACUCUAAAAUGUCGCGUUGAAUCUCAGCAUGAUGGGACAUCUGUUGAGGAAGUCUUCCUGGGUAUCUGGCCAAGUCUAUUCCCUUCUCUAGAACCCCCUGCUUCUCUGCUUGAGGCGUAAUUUUCCAUUAAAAAAAAAAAACACACACAUACAAGUGAGACACGAUAACUGAAGAAAAAUGAAACAAAACAGAGGCAAAAGGAAAAUUAAAUCGAGAUUAUGCAAAGUCUAAUUACGCUGUUUAACUUCCAAGGCAUUUUCCCAUGGAAAUAACCGCGUGAUUCCAGGCAAGUCACUUACCCUGUCUAUGCCUCAGUUUCCCUAUCUGUAAAAUGAGGCUAAUAGGGAGUACCCACCCUUUAGGGCUGUUGUGAUCAUUAAAAUGCAUGAAUAUAUGGAAAGUACUUGGAAUAGUACCUGGCACACAAUAGGAAUUACUGAAUGUUUAUUGACUUUUAAUUUGACAAAAAAAUAGUGUCACGUUA